Molecule: ribosomal RNA, 800 nt
Filed under: Siminovitchia fordii
Lineage: Bacteria; Bacillati; Bacillota; Bacilli; Caryophanales; Bacillaceae
Description: bacterial SSU rRNA
Rfam family: Bacterial small subunit ribosomal RNA
Source: RNAcentral
CAGUCGAGCGGAUGAAGAGAGCUUGCUCUCUGGAUUCAGCGGCGGACGGGUGAGUAACACGUGGGCAACCUGCCUGUAAGACUGGGAUAACUCCGGGAAACCGGGGCUAAUACCGGAUAACUUCUUUUCCCGCAUGGGGAGAGGUUGAAAGACGGUUAUGCUGUCACUUACAGAUGGGCCCGCGGCGCAUUAGCUAGUUGGUGGGGUAACGGCCUACCAAGGCGACGAUGCGUAGCCGACCUGAGAGGGUGAUCGGCCACACUGGGACUGAGACACGGCCCAGACUCCUACGGGAGGCAGCAGUAGGGAAUCUUCCGCAAUGGACGAAAGUCUGACGGAGCAACGCCGCGUGAGUGACGAAGGCCUUCGGGUCGUAAAACUCUGUUAUCAGGGAAGAACAAGCAUCGUUUAACUGACGGUGCCAUGACGGUACCUGACCAGAAAGCCACGGCUAACUACGUGCCAGCAGCCGCGGUAAUACGUAGGUGGCAAGCGUUGUCCGGAAUUAUUGGGCGUAAAGCGCGCGCAGGCGGCUUCUUAAGUCUGAUGUGAAAGCCCACGGCUCAACCGUGGAGGGUCAUUGGAAACUGGGAGGCUUGAGUGCAGAAGAGGAGAGCGGAAUUCCACGUGUAGCGGUGAAAUGCGUAGAGAUGUGGAGGAACACCAGUGGCGAAAGCGGCUCUCUGGUCUGUAACUGACGCUGAGGCGCGAAAGCGUGGGUAGCGAACAGGAUUAGAUACCCUGGUAGUCCACGCCGUAAACGAUGAGUGCUAAGUGUUAGUGGGGUUUCCACCCCUUAG